GAUGAACGCUGGCGGCGUGCCUAAUACAUGCCAGUCGAGCGAACAGACGAGGAGCUUGCUCCUCUGACGUUAGCGGCGGACGGGUGAGUAACACGUGGAUAACCUACCUAUAAGACUGGGAUAACUUCGGGAAACCGGAGCUAAUACCGGAUAAUAUAUUGAACCGCAUGGUUCAAUAGUGAAAGACGGUUUUGCUGUCACUUAUAGAUGGAUCCGCGCCGCAUUAGCUAGUUGGUAAGGUAACGGCUUACCAAGGCAACGAUGCGUAGCCGACCUGAGAGGGUGAUCGGCCACACUGGAACUGAGACACGGUCCAGACUCCUACGGGAGGCAGCAGUAGGGAAUCUGCCGCAAUGGGCGAAAGCUUGACGGAGCAACGCCGCGUGAGUGAUGAAGGUCUUCGGAUCGUAAAACUCUGUUAUUAGGGAAGAACAAAUGUGUAAGUAACUAUGCACGUCUUGACGGUACCUAAUCAGAAAGCCACGGCUAACUACGU
Molecule: ribosomal RNA, 496 nt
Filed under: uncultured bacterium
Lineage: Bacteria
Description: partial 16S ribosomal RNA
Rfam family: Bacterial small subunit ribosomal RNA
Source: RNAcentral